RNAcentral lists this small RNA (142 nucleotides) under Algibacter pectinivorans. RNAcentral's name for it is "Flavo-1 RNA". It matches the Rfam family "Flavo-1 RNA". Lineage: Bacteria; Pseudomonadati; Bacteroidota; Flavobacteriia; Flavobacteriales; Flavobacteriaceae. The record is from RNAcentral.
UCGCAUUAGGGAUUGCAACGGCAUCCUUUUUAAAGUUUUGAAAGCAAUGCACUUAGUAAUUUCUAAAUUUUAAUAAAUUACCACAACCCUCGUUUUAUUGCAAUAUUCCUUUAAAAAGAUAUAGUGGAAAGCCCGACCUUUA